GACGAACGCUGGCGGCGUGCUUAACACAUGCAAGUCGAACGGAAAGGCCCGGCUUUUGUGGGGUGCUCGAGUGGCGAACGGGUGAGUAACACGUGAGUAACCUGCCCUUGACUUUGGGAUAACUUCAGGAAACUGGGGCGAAUACCGGAUAUGAUCUCCUGCUGCAUGGUGGGGGUUGGAAAGUUUCGGCGGUUGGGGAUGGACUCGCGGCUUAUCAGCUUGUUGGUGGGGUAGUGGCUUACCAAGGCUUUGACGGGUAGCCGGCCUGAGAGGGUGACCGGCCACAUUGGGACUGAGAUACGGCCCAGACUCCUACGGGAGGCAGCAGUGGGGAAUAUUGCACAAUGGGCGGAAGCCUGAUGCAGCAACGCCGCGUGCGGGAUGACGGCCUUCGGGUUGUAAACCGCUUUCGCCUGUGACGAAGCGUGAGUGACGGUAAUGGGUAAAGAAGCACCGGCUAACUACGUG
Molecule: ribosomal RNA, 468 nt
Filed under: uncultured bacterium
Lineage: Bacteria
Description: partial 16S ribosomal RNA
Rfam family: Bacterial small subunit ribosomal RNA
Source: RNAcentral